UGGGGAAUAUUGCACAAUGGGCGAAAGCCUGAUGCAGCAACGCCGCGUGAGUGAUGAAGGUCUUCGGAUUGUAAAGCUCUGUCUUUUGGGACGAUAAUGACGGUACCAAAGGAGGAAGCCACGGCUAACUACGUGCCAGCAGCCGCGGUAAUACGUAGGUGGCGAGCGUUGUCCGGAUUUACUGGGCGUAAAGGGUGCGUAGGCGGAUGUUUAAGUGAGAUGUGAAAUACCCGGGCUUAACUUGGGUGCUGCAUUUCAAACUGGAUAUCUAGAGUGCAGGAGAGGAGAAUGGAAUUCCUAGUGUAGCGGUGAAAUGCGUAGAGAUUAGGAAGAACACCAGUGGCGAAGGCGAUUCUCUGGACUGUAACUGACGCUGAGGCACGAAAGCGUGGGUAGCAAACAGGAUUAGAUACCCUGGUAGUCCACGCCG
This 430-nucleotide ribosomal RNA is filed under the name uncultured bacterium. Its description in RNAcentral is "partial 16S ribosomal RNA". It matches the Rfam family "Bacterial small subunit ribosomal RNA", at positions 355 to 802 of the family's 1533-position model. The record is from RNAcentral.